UCCCUGGUGGCUCAGAGGGUAAAGCGUCUGCCUGCAAUGCGGGAGACCUGGGUUCAAUCCCCGGGUUGGGAA
RNAcentral lists this transfer RNA (72 nucleotides) under Odocoileus virginianus texanus. It matches the Rfam family "tRNA". From Rfam's summary of the family: Transfer RNA (tRNA) molecules are approximately 80 nucleotides in length. Their secondary structure includes four short double-helical elements and three loops (D, anti-codon, and T loops). Lineage: Eukaryota; Metazoa; Chordata; Mammalia; Artiodactyla; Cervidae. RNAcentral also lists the same sequence under 4 other names. The record is from Rfam by way of RNAcentral.